Molecule: ribosomal RNA, 393 nt
Filed under: uncultured Spumella
Lineage: Eukaryota; Synurophyceae; Ochromonadales; Ochromonadaceae
Description: partial small subunit ribosomal RNA
Rfam family: Eukaryotic small subunit ribosomal RNA
Source: RNAcentral
GCUUGUCUCAAAGAUUAAGCCAUGCAUGUCUCAGUAUAAGCUUCUAUACGACGAAACUGCGAAUGGCUCAUUAAAACAGUUACAGUUUAUUUGAUGGUCAUUCUUUACAUGGAUACCCGUGGUAAUUCUAGAGCUAAUACAUGCGUCAAAACCCAACUUCUGGGAGGGUUGUAUUUAUUAGAUGGAAACCAAUGCGGGGCAACCCGGUAUAUGGUGAUUCAUAAUAACUUUCGGAUCGAUCUUCGGAUCGAUGCAUCAUUCAAGUUUCUGCCCUAUCAGCUUUGGAUGGUAGGGUAUUGGCCUACCAUGGCUUUAACGGGUAACGGAGAAUUAGGGUUCGAUUCCGGAGAGGGAGCCUGAGAAAUGGCUACCACAUCCAAGGAAGGCAGCAGG